CAGUAGAACCACAGUAGUUAGUGAGGGCACCAACUACAAGGACCCUUUUGUUUGUCCCAUCAUCAUGCCCUCUGGCUGCUUUCCUGGUGGACUUUUACAUCUCUUGCAGCCUUGCUGACCUUCCUCUGGACUCAUUGUGCAGCUGUGCAAGAGGAAAAGUACUUAUCAGUCCCCAAACUGGCAUUUUUCUUUGAAGAGAACAAUAAGAUAUAUGACAAAGUUGAGUCAGAUGAAGAACGAAGGAGCUGUUUAAGAGAUGGCGCCAAGGUCACAGUCGAAAGAUGUCUCCGAUGAAGAUUUGGCUGUGCAAAUGAGCAAGCUGCUUGUGAAGAAAGUUCUACCUGAAACAGGUCAGUAAUAUUUACAUAAUUUUGUUCUUCUGAUUUGGGGGGCAGUUUUUUUUUGUGAAAUAGUAUAGAGUUCAGUUUCUUAAGAGUUAUUUAUAGGAAAUCUUAUUUAAAGUUUUACUUAAGUUGGCAAGAACAAAGCUGGAUCCAAACAUUCUUUAGGCUUGGACAAAAUGUUAUGUGGAAUAUCUUGUCUGGUUUUCUGUAACUUUAGAGGUACUUAAAGCUUGUGUGUGUGGAAAUUUUUAAAGCCCAGUUGCAAACUAGCUGCUGAAUAUUUUCUCUAGGUUUUAAUGUCUCUGUGUACUUAUUUCUGUUAGAGCAACUAGGUCUGGUCUGGUCUCCAUGUAUGGAUUUUUGGGAUGGCUUGAGUAUGUUGCAGUGCUGUGUGCUAGUAGAUUGCAAAUAUCUCUGAAUAGCUCAAUGUUUUAAAGAAGAUUUCUGGGUUGGCCUUUUGCUGCUAGGAGAGGCAGACUCAACUGUAGUCAAAGAGACUUCUGCUCUGUGGCUGCUGUUUCAGAUUAAUUUGUGCCUUUUCUUGGUCUACAUAACCAUCUGACAAAAGUCGUACUGAAAACAUGCAUGGUAGAAUGAUGUGAUUCCAUAACACUCACGUUCCUGCUGUUUUUUUCUCAAAUAUUGAAAACAAAUAUUUUGCUAGUGUCUUUAUGUCUCCUACUAGA
Molecule: long non-coding RNA, 1030 nt
Filed under: Numida meleagris (helmeted guineafowl)
Lineage: Eukaryota; Metazoa; Chordata; Aves; Galliformes; Numididae
Description: lncRNA (ENSNMEG00000010837.1)
Source: RNAcentral